RNAcentral lists this ribosomal RNA (463 nucleotides) under uncultured bacterium. RNAcentral describes it as "partial 16S ribosomal RNA". It matches the Rfam family "Bacterial small subunit ribosomal RNA", at positions 28 to 507 of the family's 1533-position model. The record is from RNAcentral.
GAUGAACGCUGACAGAAUGCUUAACACAUGCAAGUCUUUGGCGAAGCUGUGCUUGCACAGCCUAGCCAAGGCGGACGGGUGAGUAUCGCGUAAGGAACUUGCCCUGCAGUCAGGGAUAACAGACGGAAACGACUGAUAAGACCUGGUAAAGUCAGGCGGACUCAUGUCCAGCCUGAUGAAAAGAGAUGCUGCAGGAGAGCCUUGCGUCCUAUUAGCUUGUUGGUGGGGUAACGGCCCACCAAGGCGAUGAUAGGUAGCCGGCCUGAGAGGGUGGACGGCCACAAGGGGACUGAGAUACGGCCCUUACUCCUACGGGAGGCAGCAGUGGGGAAUAUUGGACAAUGGGGGCAACCCUGAUCCAGCAAUUCUGUGUGCACGAUGAAGGUUUUCGGAUUGUAAAGUGCUUUCAGCAGGGAAGAAAAAAAUGACGGUACCUGCAGAAGAAGCGACGGCUAAAUACGUG